GCCAGGUAUGGAGGCACAGGUCUGUAAUCCCAGCCACUCAGGAGGAUGAGGUAGAAGGAUCAAAAGUUUUAAGGUUGCUUGAAUCUUUAUCAGAAAUUAGUAAAAAACAAACUGAAAGAGUGUUAAGUAAAUUGUUAGAGGAAGGAGGCAUCCCAGUAAAAUCAAGAGCAGUCAGGGCAUACGUUGAUACAAUACAAAAAUGUAGCCCAUGGCUUUUUAAGGAGGAGUUGUUGAAUAUAUCACAAUGGAACCAUCAUGGUGAAGAUUUAAAAAGAAUAGAAAAGAAAAGCCCAGGGACUCUGCCAGUUGGCACACUGCCAUUGUGGA
This 327-nucleotide long non-coding RNA is filed under the name Marmota monax (woodchuck). The record is from RNAcentral. Lineage: Eukaryota; Metazoa; Chordata; Mammalia; Rodentia; Sciuridae.